This 453-nucleotide ribosomal RNA is filed under the name uncultured bacterium. Its description in RNAcentral is "bacterial SSU rRNA". It matches the Rfam family "Bacterial small subunit ribosomal RNA", at positions 340 to 786 of the family's 1533-position model. The record is from RNAcentral.
UACGGAGGCAGCAGUGGGGAAUAUUGCACAAUGGGCGCAAGCCUGAUGCAGCCAUGCCGCGUGUAUGAAGAAGGCCUUCGGGUUGUAAAGUACUUUCAGUCGUGAGGAAGGUGUUAAGGUUAAUAACCUUAGCAAUUGACGUUAGCGACAGAAGAAGCACCGGCUAACUCCGUGCCAGCAGCCGCGGUAAUACGGAGGGUGCGAGCGUUAAUCGGAAUUACUGGGCGUAAAGGGCACGCAGGCGGUUAAUUAAGUUGGAUGUGAAAUCCCCGGGCUUAACCUGGGAAUGGCAUUCAAGACUGGUUAGCUAGAGUCUUGUAGAGGGGGUAGAAUUCCAUGUGUAGCGGUGAAAUGCGUAGAGAUGUGGAGGAAUACCGGUGGCGAAGGCGGCCCCUGGACAAAGACUGACGCUCAUGUGCGAAAGCGUGGGGAGCAAAACAGGGAUUAGAUACC